GUGAACUUGUGGUGGGCAUUGUUUCUUGGACUGUGGAGCACAUGGAUCCUUAGUUUGGGGUAUAAACGACAGGGGGUUGCUGACAGGUUUGCUUCACUUGCUGCUGCUGGGCUUUCUGGGGCAGGUGCUCUCUCCACUGCUGCUGCAGGAACAGGGGAGCCUAAAAGAAACCUAGGCAGUGGACACCAUGAGAAGUGUUCCCUCCACCAUCCCUACCUUCUGACUUCUAAAGCAAUGUUUCCUUACAAUGGCCAAGGACAUGAUAAGUGAUUAAUUGCCUCUAAUUGGUCAGUGAAUUGACUCACAUGCACCCAUUGUGAUCCUCUCCCUUUCAUUCUUCUUCUAUGCUAUUCUGACUUCAUUUCCUGUCUUCCUUCAUCCUCCCAUAGACUCCUGAUUUAACUGAAUAUAUAAUUGAUUUCUCAGUCUGCCCAGGAAACAAGAUGAAAUGCUGAGUUGAGGAUAAAAAGAUAGCGCAAACAUUUUAUAAGAUUGAGGCAUGAAGUCUUGGUUGAUGGGUGUGCAAUGUCAACUGGCUGCCUUGAGUAGUGCAGACAAAUAGGACAGGAGCUUGCCUAGUGGCUGGAGACAGUUUGAGAAGGAGUAAGGGCCCAGCAGGUCCCAGUAGGAAGAAUCCAAUCCCACUUACCAGAAGUGCAAGCAGGACCUCAGGAGAGGAGGCUGGGCACAGGAAGCUUUCCCUUGAGCACGAAGGACAAGAAUACAAAUGGUCACCCACAGGCUCACUGCCCCUGACCUGCCCCACCUCCCAGGAAUCGGCUGCUGGGCCAACCAGGAAACCAGGCUCUGCAUCUUGCCUCCCUAGGGAACAGACACCUGAGAGCAGGAGUUCAUUGUGA
Molecule: long non-coding RNA, 860 nt
Filed under: Vulpes vulpes (red fox)
Lineage: Eukaryota; Metazoa; Chordata; Mammalia; Carnivora; Canidae
Description: lncRNA (ENSVVUG00000015753.1)
Source: RNAcentral